This 44-nucleotide non-coding RNA is filed under the name Trichobilharzia regenti. Lineage: Eukaryota; Metazoa; Platyhelminthes; Trematoda; Strigeidida; Schistosomatidae. The record is from RNAcentral.
ACUGGCUGACGAGUCCCAAAUAGGACGAGAUGCGCAUCCUGGAU